RNAcentral lists this long non-coding RNA (446 nucleotides) under Carica papaya (papaya). Its description in RNAcentral is "long non-coding RNA (CPAP_LNC013883)". The record is from RNAcentral. Lineage: Eukaryota; Viridiplantae; Streptophyta; Magnoliopsida; Brassicales; Caricaceae.
UUCUCAACCAUUUGGGGGGGAGGGAGGGGGGAAUCCUAACAGAAGAGGGAGGGUCGAUCGCGAGAAAGAGAUAGUAAGAUCGACUUAGAGGAGAACAAGCCGAACGAGUACAAGAUUUUAGAGAGGAAGUAAGAUCUUAAAAUAGCUAGUUUGAUCGAGAGAAGGAUGGGUGGAAAGAGUACGAACAUCUAAAGAGGAACCGAUGGCAUUGCGUUACAGCAUCGCCAAGGAGGACUUGAGAGAGGACCGACAUUGCAAGUAAACAUCCACGCAGUGGCAGGAGGUAAGACAAAUUUUGGUUUCAAACACCAAAAUUGAGAUUUAUAUUUUCAAAUUCCUUCUUUCGGAGGAUGUAUGCAUGAUUGGGGUUUAAAAAAAAUGGAAAGAUAUUUGAACUUUUAGUAGAAUAUAUAUCGUGCAUCAUAAAAGGCUAAACCCAAAAGUGU